AGAGAGUGGGCGCGUCCAUCAGCUGCUGCUGGACAGGCUGCCCUCACAAAUACCACUACAUCUGCGCGAAGGAGAUAGGCUGUAUGUUCCAAGACGACAACUUUUCACUGAAAUGUCCGAAACACGAGGCUUUGUAAAAUAGAGCAGCACCAGUGAGCAUCACCUAUGCAGUACGACAGACAGACAGAUAGGACAUCCCCCCCCCCACCCAAACCUGAUGAUGAGUCAUGAUGAGACGUCAUGACGGACAGACGCAUCGGCCAAUGGGGACAGCUGGGGAUCCUCUGAGGCUCCACCGAUAGCAGCAAUACAGACACUAGACAGCAGGUCCCUCAGAGCAACCCCCGUAACCCCUGGCAACGGCACUGCUUUAUCUCAGCCACCCCUGAUAACCAGACAGAGAGACAGAGAGAAAGAGAGAGAGACUGCAUUGUCUGUCUGACAGACAGUCUCCUUCACGGACAGACGGACUGCGGUGUUUUGAGAGAGUCUUUCACAGCCCUGUCUGUCUGUGUCUAGAGUCUAGACACCUGGCAGCCAUGGUUACUUAGAGACCCCCCCUCCAGAGAGAGUGGGGGAGAGAGAGGGGGAGAGACAUGGGGAGAGACAGGGGGAGAGACAGGGAGCUGUUUUAAAUUCACGCUGCACUGUUCUGCCUCUGGAACGGUCGCUAUCAUUUUUGGACACCUGGUGGAUUGCGAUUGGCCAGAAUAGGCCCCCUCCGGCUAUGCUGUCCGAGUUCCAGGUCGCGGUGUGUGUGUGACAUCGACUGUGUGUGCGUGUGCUUGUACAAGGAAGGGAAUGAGCGUGUUCCAAUUCAAGAUGUCAUGCGUCAGAAGAAGCUGCCCUCCCCUGGAUGUAUCUCAAUGUGAGCUUAAG
This 879-nucleotide long non-coding RNA is filed under the name Salmo salar (Atlantic salmon). RNAcentral describes it as "lncRNA (ENSSSAG00000090872.1)". The record is from RNAcentral. Lineage: Eukaryota; Metazoa; Chordata; Actinopteri; Salmoniformes; Salmonidae.